This 253-nucleotide ribosomal RNA is filed under the name uncultured bacterium. RNAcentral describes it as "partial 16S ribosomal RNA". It matches the Rfam family "Bacterial small subunit ribosomal RNA", at positions 524 to 776 of the family's 1533-position model. The record is from RNAcentral.
UACGGGGGGAGCAAGCGUUGUUCGGAUUUACUGGGCGUAAAGGGCGCGUAGGCGGCCCCGCAAGUCGACUGUGAAAUCUCCGGGCUUAACCCGGAAAGGUCAGCCGAUACUGCGGGGCUAGAGUGCAGAAGGGGCAACUGGAAUUCUCGGUGUAGCGGUGAAAUGCGUAGAUAUCGAGAGGAACACCUGCGGCGAAGGCGGGUUGCUGGGCUGACACUGACGCUGAUGCGCGAAAGCUAGGGGAGCGAACGGG